Molecule: RNA transcript, 2901 nt
Organism: Salvelinus namaycush (lake trout)
Lineage: Eukaryota; Metazoa; Chordata; Actinopteri; Salmoniformes; Salmonidae
Gene name: protein ILRUN-like
Exons: 6
Source: RefSeq, a predicted model, not a curated record
GUGACGAAAGGUGACGUUCGAUUGCACAGACGUCCAACGUUGUCCCUCCCGCCGCCAUGCGUAUUACGCUUGUUGUUGUUGAACUGGUUGUUAUGACUGGACAAGGCCUCGGACUAAAUUAGGACAGAACCCCUCGUCGCUGCCACGGGAGACCUGCCAAUGGAGGGCAUGGACAUAGACCUGGACCCGGAGUUCGUUCAGAAAUUCAACUGCAUGGGCACCACUGACAAGGACGUCCUCAUCUCAGAGUUCCAAAGACUGCUGGGGUUCCAGGUCAACCCGGCAGGAUGCGCUUUCUUCCUUGACAUGAGCAACUGGAAUCUACAGGCAGCCAUCGGUGCCUAUUAUGAUGUUGAGAGUCCCAGCAUCAACACACCAGCCAUGUCCUUUGUGGAGGAUGUGACGAUUGGUGAGGGAGAGUCUGUUCCCCCCGACACACCGUUCACAAAGACCUGGAGGAUACAGAACACAGGUGCAGAUUCCUGGCCACCUGGGGUAUGUCUGAAGUACAUUGGAGGGGACCAGUUUGGCCACGUCAACAUAGUGAUAGUGCGCUGUCUAGAACCCCAGGAGAUCUCAGACGUCAGUGUGCAGAUGCGUAGCCCUGCAGCGCCCGGCAUGUACCAGGGCCAAUGGAGGAUGUGCACACCCACAGGGCUGUUUUAUGGAGACGUCAUCUGGGUGAUCCUCAGCGUGGAGGUGGGUGGCCUUUUGGGCGUGACACAGCAGCUUUCCUGCUUCGAGACGGAGUUCAACACCCAGCCGCACCGCAACGUAGAGGGAGACUUCAACCCUUUUGCCUCGCCACAGAAGAGCAAACACGACGCCGGAGAUGACAACAACUUCAAAGAGCCUGGAGGAGCCUGGAAGGGCAGGCAGGACGCCAUCCAGCAAGAUGAAAACGGACUGUCUCACAAUGCUGUAAAUAGAGCAUCGAAUGGGCUACAAAACAAUCUAUCAGUAGUGACUUACAGUCAGGCUGACUCAUCGCCAUCAGUCCCAGGGUCCCUAGCUUGGUGAUGAGCCUGGAGGGGACUAUGGUGUUGAACGCUGACCUGAAGUCUGAGUUAUUUCCCCUCUUAUCCAGGGUGUUCAUGGACCUUAUCCGUUAGGCCAGAGUUAGACAGAUGGAGACCCAGGCCAGGUGGUGCUGAACAGACCUGGGCAUGCUGAUGCUGACCUGCGGCAGGGGCACUGGAGAGGGGAGGGAUACAUAUUUCAUACAGACUCUAGACAACUCUCUCCCUUGGGCCCUACCCCAUUCCACCAAAACACAAGCUACAGUGAGAACAAGGAGGCACCUAUCCCAGUGAACACCCUACCAGCAUUAUCAGAACCCUCCCAAGAUCGGCAUGAGUGAAUGCUACAUAAAGAAUGCUAUCAAUCCUAAGUUCUACUACAUACAUGUUUUAUUAUUAUUUUUAGCUGUCAACACACCUCAUUAGUGUAGGGUAGGCACUGCUGGUUGAGCUUAGCAAAAGGAUGGAUGUGAGUGAGCUUGAGCAAAUGAAAUGUGUGAGAAAAAGCCAUCUAAAACUAUUUUGCCUGUUGAGCUAUUAUUGUAGGAUUUGAAUCCAUGUCUGUGUUUUCUGAAUUGUGCAUGUGUGCACGUGUAUAGUUUCCUUUUGGAUUUUACUAAACACAAAGUGGUGGAUACAACUUUGGUAAAGAAGUUGUGGUGACCUAUAUAUGUAGGCCAGGUAGGUUAUGUAUCUAAAUAGAUGAAACAAAAUAAUACUAAUAUAAAAAAUUAUAAUUCUCCACAGGUGUUUCAGAAAUUAGGAUACAGACCUGUGAAUGAGUUGCCCCGUAAAUAAGCCUUUGCUGUACUGUACUUACGACACAGAUAUGGAUCAUUCAGUGGUAAAGCUUGUUCUUUAGAGCCAGCAGAUGGUGCUAUUAACUAAACAACCAAACCAAAUGGUCUCUGACACAUCACGACAGACAUUGAAAAAUAGACUUCCCUUUCCCAUCAUAGGGAGAGGUAUUUAAAUUCUGGGUUUGUGACUGCUCAAGCCAUUGACAAUAUCAGCACCGUUUGUUUUGUAUCUGCAGUUUGCACGAUGUCACUUCAGAUGUUUACAAGUGGUGAUUUUGAUUUAGUUUCUGUAUGCUGUCUGGAUCUAGAUAUUAUUGUCUGUUGUAAUAGUAUAUAUUUUCCUUGUUUUAGUUUUCUUCCAAACUUGACAACGUUGAGUCCCGUUUUGAUUGUCAAAUUAAGUGGAGCGGGUACAUACGCUCAAAAGGACAGGUUCAACCCUGGAAUUCAUUAAUUCCUCUGCGUCAAAGUGGAACGCUCUAUUAAGAGAUGUAGUCAUAUUAAUUAUUGUUUACAAUUACAUGGUAUCAACCAAGUUAACAUCAUGUUAUGCAAUUUGUUUCCCAUUUGGAAUGUUAUUUUAAUUUAUUUUAUUUACCGUCACGUUCUUCAAGCAAUGAAGAUUUCUUCGCUUCCAAUGUUUCACAAUUUCCACAAGGUUAUGAGUAAAUGAAAAACAAGGAAAUUGAUGACAGUUGUUAUUCAUAGACUAAAGAUCUUGUAGAUGCUCAUACAAGAUUCUUAUCUUAUGGUUUCUUCUGAUGGAAAGUCCCUGUUUUCUUGUGGCUGUUGUGCUUUCACACCAGACUUUCAUAUUUCUGUAUUUGUCAAGGGUAUUAUGUUAGUCCUCUGUGUUCACUGUUCUGCAUUUUACUCUGAAACCAGAGAGUGUUUAAUUCUUAGCUUUAUUGCGUUUUUUUUAUUUUGGUGGUGGGGGGUGCAGUUUUAAGCAAGGUGGUAUGGUGAGUGGCGCAUUUGCAUAGUCUUAUGAUAGAACAUUCAUGAGAAGAGAAAAUGUCAAAUUAAAGCCUUUUUCCUAUAUGUAUAAAUGAACAUUUGUAUGAUUAAAUUAACACUGAAAC